UUUUCUCUGCAUUUAUGGUCUGGAAGUCACCAUCAAACCUAAUGGUGAGAGAAGGGACCAGCAAGAGUCAAGAUCUCUCUCUCUCACAAACCGGAAGUUUUCCUUGGCUGGAAUGACAAUUUCCCAGCUAAAAGCGUGUGCAAGAACUCUGGAAUAGCCAAUCCUGCCGUACCACAACCACCAAAUAAUGGAACUUUAACCCGUUUCUGGCAAUCUUUAAAUGUCACCCUAAACAGUGAGAUUUCCAUUAGAACAACACUUCCAACUGCUUCUGUGUUUUGAGCGGCCUCUAAAAGCAUUGAGUCUGCUUUGAUGGAUCCGUGGUGCCACUGUGGAGUGGUGUGGAUGAAGGAGGAUGGAG
Molecule: long non-coding RNA, 361 nt
Organism: Pipra filicauda (Wire-tailed manakin)
Lineage: Eukaryota; Metazoa; Chordata; Aves; Passeriformes; Pipridae
Exons: 5
Source: RefSeq, a predicted model, not a curated record